Xenia sp. Carnegie-2017 is the source of this 229-nucleotide long non-coding RNA. RefSeq lists it as uncharacterized. NCBI's taxonomy places the organism in Eukaryota, Metazoa, Cnidaria, Anthozoa, Malacalcyonacea, Xeniidae. The record is from RefSeq and is a predicted model, not a curated record. The transcript is spliced from 2 exons.
AUGUUGAUGUUGCUGUUUCUUUAAAACAAUCUUGGUUUGCGUUUGAAAAAUUGGAAACUACGUGAUAAAGCAAAGAGGUCUACGAAAAAGUUGUAGAAAUUGAAAACUAUCGUUAGGUCUAAAUCAUGCUGAUGUUGCUGCGUCUUUACACAAUUCUAGUAUCGGUGUAUUAUGAUACUGGAAAAAUACGACAAAGCUAUAGAGUUUUACGAAAAAGCUCUUGGAAAUC